GACUCCGUAGCUCAUUUGGAUAGAGCGCCUGGCUUCGAACCAGGAGGUAGUAGGUUCGACUCCUACCGGAGUCACCA
This 77-nucleotide transfer RNA is filed under the name Candidatus Doudnaibacteriota bacterium. RNAcentral's name for it is "Candidatus Doudnabacteria bacterium tRNA-Arg". It matches the Rfam family "tRNA". From Rfam's summary of the family: Transfer RNA (tRNA) molecules are approximately 80 nucleotides in length. Their secondary structure includes four short double-helical elements and three loops (D, anti-codon, and T loops). The record is from RNAcentral. Lineage: Bacteria; Candidatus Doudnaibacteriota.